This 163-nucleotide non-coding RNA is filed under the name Bordetella trematum. Lineage: Bacteria; Pseudomonadati; Pseudomonadota; Betaproteobacteria; Burkholderiales; Alcaligenaceae. The record is from RNAcentral.
AAAGUUCCCGGCCGAAUCGGUGCUUUCGGCGCAUCCGCGCGCAAAGUAAACGGGAAACAGGAAGGCGUUCUCGCCCAGCCUGUGCUGCCCCCGCAACGGUCCCCAUGAUGCCGCCUCACCGGCCUCAUGGCAGCCCGACACCGGCCGGUUCGCCCACCGGGCC